UUGGAGGGCAAGUCUGGUGCCAGCAGCCGCGGUAAUUCCAGCUCCAAUAGCGUAUAUUAAAGUUGUUGCAGUUAAAAAGCUCGUAGUUGAAUUUCGGGAUCAAUACGUCGGUCGUGCUUUUUUGGUACGCACUGGCGUCAUUGGUUUCUCCUUUCUGACGAACCAUGAUGUCAUUAAUUUGGUGUUAUGGGGAGUUAGGACUGUUACUUUGAAAAAAUUAGAGUGUUUAAAGCAGGCAUUAGCUUGAAUACAUUAGCAUGGAAUAAUGAAAUAGGACGUUCGAUCCUAUUUUGUUGGUUUCUAGGAUCAACGCAAUGAUUAAUAGGGAUAGUUGGGGGCAUUAGUAUUCAAUUGUCAGAGGUGAAAUUCUUGGAUUUAUUGAAGACUAACUACUGCGAAAGCAUUUGCCAAGGAUGUUUUCAUUAAUCAAGAACGAAAGUUAGGGGAUCGAAGACGAUCAGAUACCGUCGUAGUCUUAACCAUAAACUAUGCCGACUAGGGAUCGGAUGAUGUUAAUUUUUUAAUGACUCAUUCGGCGCCUUACGGGAAAC
This 551-nucleotide ribosomal RNA is filed under the name uncultured Glomeromycotina. RNAcentral's name for it is "SSU rRNA". It matches the Rfam family "Eukaryotic small subunit ribosomal RNA", at positions 548 to 1098 of the family's 1831-position model. The record is from RNAcentral. Lineage: Eukaryota; Fungi; Glomeromycota.